AAUAUUGGAUAACGGCCGAUACCCGGUUCCAGCAAUGCCGCGCGCGUGAUGAAGGCCUUAGGGUCGUAAACAUCCUUCACCGGGCAAGAUAUUGACGGUAACCGGGGAAGAAACCCCGGCUAACUUCGUGCCGUCAGCCGCGGUAAUACGAAGGGGUCUAGCGUUGUUCGGAAUUACUGGGCGUAAAGCGCACGUAGGCGGAUUAUUAAGUCAGGGGUGAAAUCCCGCAGCUCAACUGCGGAACUGCCUUUGAUACUGGUAAUCUAGAGACCGAGAGAGGUAAGUGGAACUCCUAGUGUAGAGGUGGAAUUCGUAGAUAUUAGGAAGAACACCAGUGGCGAAGGCGGCUUACUGGCUCGGAACUGACGCUGAGGUGCGAAAGCGUGGGGAGCAAAC
This 396-nucleotide ribosomal RNA is filed under the name uncultured bacterium. RNAcentral describes it as "partial 16S ribosomal RNA". It matches the Rfam family "Bacterial small subunit ribosomal RNA", at positions 360 to 773 of the family's 1533-position model. The record is from RNAcentral.